RNAcentral lists this ribosomal RNA (485 nucleotides) under uncultured bacterium. RNAcentral describes it as "partial 16S ribosomal RNA". It matches the Rfam family "Bacterial small subunit ribosomal RNA", at positions 28 to 507 of the family's 1533-position model. The record is from RNAcentral.
AUUGAACGCUGGCGGCAUGCCUUACACAUGCAAGUCGAACGGCAGCGGGCCCUUCGGGGUGCCGGCGAGUGGCGAACGGGUGAGUAAUGCAUCGGAACGUACCCGGGAGAGGGGGAUAACCGGCCGAAAGGCUGGCUAAUACCGCAUGAACUCGGAAGAGCAAAGCGGGGGACCUUCGGGCCUCGCGCUCUCGGAGCGGCCGAUGUCCGAUUAGGCUAGUUGGUGGGGUAAAGGCCCACCAAGGCGACGAUCGGUAGCGGGUCUGAGAGGACGAUCCGCCACACUGGGACUGAGACACGGCCCAGACUCCUACGGGAGGCAGCAGUGGGGAAUCUUGGACAAUGGGCGCAAGCCUGAUCCAGCAAUGCCGCGUGGGUGAAGAAGACCUUCGGGUUGUAAAGCCCUUUCGGCGGGGAAGAAAUCGGUCAGGCGAAUAGUCUGGCCGGAUGACGGUACCCGCAGAAGAAGCACCGGCUAACUACGUG